AAAUGACAGGACAUUAGAAUUUAUUUUUCUGUAGCUUUCAAAUGAACAUCUUAAUGACAGGUUUCUACUGAAAUAAGUGUUUAAAUGAAGUUCACGAAUCAGCCUGGCAUCUCCGAGAACCUGACCGCCAGAGGCCUGCUGGGAACAGGACUUCCUAAAGCAAGUAUGUCUGGAAGGCUGUGGUGCAAGGCCAUUUUUGCUAGCUACAAGCAAGGUCUCAGGAACCAAAGGGAGCACACGGCUCUUCUUAAAAUUGAAGGCUUUUAUGCCCGAGAUGAAACUGAGUUCUACUUAGGCAAGAGAUGUGCUUAUGUGUAUAAAGCAAAAAACAAUACAGUGACUCCUGGAGGCAAACCAAAUGAAACCAGAGUGAUCUGGGGAAAAGUAACUCGGGCCCACGGAAACAGUGGGAUGGUUCGUGCCAAAUUCCGAAGCAACCUUCCUGCAAAGGCCAUUGGACACAGAAUCCAUGUGAUGCUGUACCCAUCCCGGAUUUAAACUAAUGGAGAGUAAAUAAAUAAAAGUAGAUUUGUGCUCUUGUAAAAAAAAA
RNA transcript from Mastomys coucha (southern multimammate mouse), 550 nucleotides. It is a transcript of the gene named 60S ribosomal protein L35a pseudogene, with no coding region annotated. The transcript has a single exon. The record is from RefSeq and is a predicted model, not a curated record. NCBI's taxonomy places the organism in Eukaryota, Metazoa, Chordata, Mammalia, Rodentia, Muridae.